AGAAAGCAAAUUCAGACAGCGGUUGCCUGGAUCAACACCCAGUACUGGGAUGCCUGGAACCUGUGUGACAAGGAGGCAGAUCAUGGCUGGAAACCAUUCAGGAAGAAGGAUGUGAGGAAGAAGAAGAAACUGAGGUGGCGUUUCAGGAGGCACAAGACGCUGAGGUUGCCCAGUUGGACAGAUGGUGUCCAUGUGGCUGGUGUAAGGUACGUGUUUAUAUCAGUAUCUACAUGUAAAGGGAGCAGACACAGGAAAAAGGUAUUGAAGACCCUUGAUAUGAUAUUGCUGUUUUUGAUUUAGAUUCCAAAGUUAACCCUUUAUUUAAUUUAUCCCUUUUCCCCAAGUAGAAUGAUGCAUUUACUUGUAAUCUGUAUUAUUUUGCUUUGGAGUCGGAAGUUCCAAAAUCACCAGGUAAGUUAAUCGAUUGUAUGUGUUUUAACUACUAGACAGAUGUAAAUGAUAAGCCUUAAGAUUUAUUUUAAAUUAAUUUAUUGUUUUUUUGUAAAUUAAAAACAGGAACCCUCGUGGACCAAGACUUGAGGGCAUUUGUACCAUCCAGCUGUACAACUUUAACUGGUUCUGCAGUCUUUUUCUCCCCACAGCCUCUGCUUGUUCCCUUCUUCUCUUUCUGUCUUCCCUCCAGGAGAGCUCCUCAGGCAUCUCCAGCCUGUAAUUCCUGGGAAAUGCCACCUGCCACCCAUCCUUGGAAGCGUCGCCCAGUCUCAGGAUCUCAUACGUCACCAUUCAUCACAGAGUCACAGCGCUUGCAGACAUCUGGAUAAAAGGAAAAGCCCAUUUUUUAAAACUUACACGUUAAAUUUUCCUCUAAUUACCAUUUUAUUCUUUUAAAUUUCAUUAUGUUUAAUUACAUUUAGUAUGGAUUAAGGCACAGCCAGCCUGGAUUAAGGCAUCACCAGCCUGUCAUCAGACUCUCCGGACAAUGCCAGCCCAGAGGGGGCUGACCUGGAGGACAUUCCCCCGGAGGACAUGGAGUGGGAGCCUCCAGGUCUUGCCCUGAGUCCCACUCCGUGGUGUCAGCCCCGUGGCCAAAGUUUCCCCAGCCGAGGAGGCUAUCGCCGCGACAACGGCAGGGUCAACGGAAAUCCAGUCGUGGGCUGAGGUCCAGGAGGAAAAAACGAGGUUAUGCUACCCAGACCUGCCUCCUGAUCCAGGCUUGGUCCAAGA
Long non-coding RNA from Brienomyrus brachyistius, 1185 nucleotides. RefSeq lists it as uncharacterized. NCBI's taxonomy places the organism in Eukaryota, Metazoa, Chordata, Actinopteri, Osteoglossiformes, Mormyridae. The transcript has 3 exons. The record is from RefSeq and is a predicted model, not a curated record.